RNAcentral lists this long non-coding RNA (442 nucleotides) under Lathyrus oleraceus (garden pea). RNAcentral's name for it is "Pisum sativum (pea) long non-coding RNA (PSAT_LNC004747)". Lineage: Eukaryota; Viridiplantae; Streptophyta; Magnoliopsida; Fabales; Fabaceae. The record is from RNAcentral.
GAUAACAAAGGGUUUUGAACUCGGUAGUCAUGUUGUGUGAUUUUUCUUUCUCUUUUUCUCGUGCAUCACGUAUACUCUGGGGGUUAAUUUCACUUUUUUGACUCUUUUUCUACUCAAAUUUUUCGAGCAUUUUAUAUUGGUUUUGAACUCGGUAGUCAUGUUGUGUGAUUUUUCUUUCUCUUUUUCUCGUGCAUCACGUAUACUCUGGGGGUUAAUUUCACUUUUUUGACUCUUUUUCUACUCAAAUUUUUCGAGCAUUUUAUAUGUGUUAGAGUCUUAAGUCUCGGCAAGUGCAUUUUUCUCUUUUUUUUUUCUUUUCUCUUUUUUUUUCUUUUACAGAUCAUACAUACUCUUUUUCUUUUUGUAUGAUCUCUUAUUAUGCACUUGCCUUCUCUUUCAAGAUUUCCACCCCAAACUUAGUUUUAUUGCACAUAUUGCAAUU